UACAGAGGGUGCGAGCGUUAAUCGGAGUUACUGGGCGUAAAGGGCGCGUAGGCGGUUAUAUUAGUGUGAUGUGAAAGCCCUGGGCUUAACCUAGGAAGUGCAUCGCAAACGGUAUAACUGGAGUAUAAGAGAGGGUGGCGGAAUUUCCGGUGUAGCGGUGAAAUGCGUAGAGAUCGGAAGGAACGUCAAUGGCGAAGGCAGCCACCUGGCUUAAUACUGACGCUGAGGCGCGAAAGCGUGGGGAGCAAACAGGAUUAGAUACCCCGGUAGU
Molecule: ribosomal RNA, 271 nt
Filed under: uncultured bacterium
Lineage: Bacteria
Description: partial 16S ribosomal RNA
Rfam family: Bacterial small subunit ribosomal RNA
Source: RNAcentral